ACCACUGCAGCCAAGAAGAGUGCCUGACGAGCCCAGUUCUGUCAAUGUAUACCAGCAGAACUGAACUCCCUGCCUCCAACCUAAUCAUUUCCCAGUCCAGACUGAGUAAGCACCAAAGAAGGGAACUCCGCCCUGACAGACAGAGUGAGUAAGUCACCGAAAGCAAUCAUUUGUCUUUGUUCUGCACAGCAGGCAUUAUUUUGUCCUGUGUGUAAGCAUUUGUCUUUCUUCAUCAUCAUCUAAUACAGCGAAGCUUUGACAGCCCUCAUUCUGCUCUAGAACCCUUCUUGUCGUCUGCAUCUCGCUCAUGACAGCCCCCGCAGCAGAGUCCUAUGCAAACAUGUAGGAAUGUAUGAGAAAUAUACCCUCCUGGAAUGCCCCUGGCAAUCAUUGCCGGCCAGCGAACGAGCAAGAAGGCGGUCACAUGUCUUCACAAAGGUCCAGGCAACUUUACAGCAUUCUCAAUCACUCAUCGAUGGUCCCUUUUUUUUGCAGUCAACUGUGGGUUCUGUGCAGCGAGAGAAAGUAAAUGUAGCAUUGCCAGAAACACCGCACAGCGCUGCCGCGCUUCUCCGAAUAGGAGCAAUGCCCUCCAGGCACCCCUAGUCUGGGCUCAAAGCCUCCAAUAUCUGGCAGCAGUUGUUAGUGUGCUCAAGGGGUGGAAGGAUAUUCAAACUUUCAUCCCCGGUUAAAAAUAGGCUGGCCCUCACAAAAAAGAAGGCCCUGCUAAUAAUCACAGCUCUGUACUAGCUGUCUGAAGCAUCUGGUCUGAGAAUGUGUCAUUUUUUAGGAGGGGCCUGGGAAACUGUAGACACCAUGCUUGCUGCCCAGAAUAAGAACCAUGGGAAUGAUUGAAGGGGUCUUUUUUUGUGUGUGUGGGCCGCUGAAGUAGGACUAGCCUGUCUGCAGGAUUGGACAGCCUUCCUUGCUGCCUCCCGGCUGCCAAGUCAGGCAUAACUCACUUAAUGGCUGGUUUGCCAGAAACAGAUGAUUUUAUGGUAACACAUAAAUGGCUGGGGACACAAUGAGGUCAGGGACUCGUGGACAUGGGAGCGAUGUCAACUCUUGAAGGUCAAAAAGAAAUCUUAUAUCGACAAGAGAGCAUUUCAGCUGCUUGCGGCACAUGUAUUCAUGUAAAUUAAACACUGGGACAUUAGAUUUGGGCUAUUAUUCCAGAUAUUUUCUUUAAACUUGACUAUUACAUGGUGAGAGUUAUUUUCUUCUUUUGAAUAUGUCUAGACACGACUUGAUUGAGAAGAUCCAUGCCAUUGUCAUGUUUAUAUGUGUGGUAAAUGGAGCUGCUAGCCAUUUAGGAAAUAGACCUGCAUUUGAUUAAGAUUAAAAAUAUGUAUUUUUUGUAUGUAAAUAUGUAGAUUUAUGUAUGUAGAUUUUGUUAUGCAUAAGAAGGAAGAGCUGUUGCCCUCAUUUCUAGUCUUUAUAUGAAUCUAAGCUUUCUGGGGUCUAAACAAAAUCACAUAAAAUGAUAAAAUUGUUCAAUUCACAACGUGCCAGUGGACUUAAAACAGUUUAAAAAAGGAAGAAAAUUUGUUUUGUUUUUUUCUGUGUUUUAAAGUGGAAUGUACUACUAAAUAAAUGUGUCAUUGUUACUGACUAAUUCCAAAUAAACCACUUUGUCUGUUUAGUUUAUAUAUUAUAUAGUGUGAGAAUGCUCAAGUAUUACCACUAUUCUUAAUUUACAGGAACUGUGACAGGUGCACUGUGAAUUGCCUUUUCUUGAGGAAGCAAAGUUGCUGCUGUCAUUAACCUGGCUAACAAUUAGCUUUUAAAACAGAGAGAGGUGUUCAUGGGAGACAAACUGGUUAAUGAGUUGUCAGACCAGUACUUGGCUUGAAAAGCCUCCAGAGCUGAACCUGGGAGUGAUGAAAACCAUCGCAGAGCAAAACAUCACAAAUUGUCUGAAUAGAACAUCCGUGAUUUUCAACUUACAUAACCUGUUGUACUUUUAUUUAUUUAUGUUUGUGACCCAGUAGUUUUGAAACCGAGUGAAGGUUCACUUUUAUUGUUCUGAAAAUAACCAUUACAGAAAUGCUAGGUGUUAAAUUUUACCAAUAAAUGGCAUUAAUUUGCAAGCUAAUGCGAAUAAUGCAUGAACAAAUCCAUUUUAUCGUGUGAACGAGCCAAAGCUUUUCAGCAGUGCUGCAGUUUUAAUCAGUCCAAAUUUCUGUUUAAAUGGAUAUAUUACUUGUUUGUUUUUGUAACUGUAUAUUACUUACCCCAUUACUUGUGUUUAAAUACUCGAGAUAUAAACAGUUUUUGUAUUUUUCUCUAAAUCUAACAUCUUAUAUUUUAAAUGAAACUUUGCACAUGUUUGCCAACAGUUGUAUCCAAUAUAAACCUGGCUUGUUGCUAUGCUAAUCAGUUAUGAUCUGUUAUGGAUUUUCAAUUUUUCUCGCUCAUUAUGGAGUAUGCCAUAAUGAGCAAAUGACAAACUGUGAAUGAUGUACUUGAUUUAUUUUUGGAUUAUGGCCCUGCUGAGUAUAAAACUGUCAUAAAUGAACAGAGGAUGACCACAAAAGCUUUAUGUCCGUAAUUUGUGAAGAAUUAACAAAGACACAUGCAGUCUCUGUCACGUAGUGAAACUCGUGACUUUUGACACCCACUGACCCACAAAAACACAAGUACACUUGGAGCUGCUGGACAAAUUCAGACCGUUUAAUAUACAACUGUAUCAGAGACAUACAGCAUAGAAAGUGAAACGCUGCUUUUUGUGUUAUAAUGUGACACAAAUUUUGGAGAGAUUCUUUCAUAUGAAACAACGUUUUUUCUCUCACUUCUGGCUCUAUUCUGAAAAAAAGUUGUAUAAUGACUGGCUGGGUGAAAAGUUUAACAUCAAUAGCACUUUAAAUGAAAAAUGAUGGAAGUAGGACAAAUACAAUAUGGCUUUAAAAAGACAUUUUUUAAAUUGCUUUGGAGAAUAUUAAUGUAAAAUCAUGUCUGAUGACACUUUUUUUUUCUAAAUUUGUACAUUUUGUACUUUCCUGGUAAAUAACCUUGCGGUAUUGUACAACUUUAAAAAUCUAUCAGCUUGUGUGUUUCUCCUGAGAUUCAAGUGUUGACAAUGAUCAUGUGUGUCAGUACCACCUGACCUUUUUUUCCAAUAAAAAUAAAUCACAUAUAAAGUCCAAAUCUGUUACUCCAUAGUUAGUGUAUAACCACAAAUGAAGAAUUCACAGGAGGUGAAUCAACACACAACUCCCUUAUAAGAACAAAAAGUACAUAGGAAUAAGAAUGAUUAGUUAAUUAAUCAAUGAAAAUUUUUACAGCUUUUGUUGAGUUUGUAAAUCUGUGCUUAUUUUGAUAUUUUUCACUUCUAAUAGUUCUGCGGAGGUGAGAAAGAUUGCAGUACAUUGAAGGAGCUCUGUAUGUG
This is a long non-coding RNA of Oreochromis niloticus (Nile tilapia), 3388 nucleotides long. RefSeq lists it as uncharacterized. The transcript is spliced from 3 exons. The record is from RefSeq and is a predicted model, not a curated record. NCBI's taxonomy places the organism in Eukaryota, Metazoa, Chordata, Actinopteri, Cichliformes, Cichlidae.